AACGAACGCUGGCGGCAUGCCUAACACAUGCAAGUCGAACGAGACCUUCGGGUCUAGUGGCGCACGGGUGCGUAACGCGUGGGAACCUGCCCUUAGGUUCGGAAUAACUCCCCGAAAGGGGUGCUAAUACCGGAUAAUGUCUUCGGACCAAAGAUUUAUCGCCUUUGGAUGGGCCCGCGUUGGAUUAGCUAGUUGGUAGGGUAAAAGCCUACUAAGGCGACGAUCCAUAGCUGGUCUGAGAGGAUGAUCAGCCACACUGGGACUGAGACACGGCCCAGACUCCUACGGGAGGCAGCAGUGAGGAAUAUUGGACAAUGGGCGAAAGCCUGAUCCAGCAAUGCCGCGUGAGUGAUGAAGGCCUUAGGGUUGUAAAGCUCUUUUACCCGGGAUGAUAAUGACAGUACCGGGAGAAUAAGCUCCGGCUAACUCCGUG
Molecule: ribosomal RNA, 433 nt
Filed under: uncultured bacterium
Lineage: Bacteria
Description: partial 16S ribosomal RNA
Rfam family: Bacterial small subunit ribosomal RNA
Source: RNAcentral